Molecule: ribosomal RNA, 468 nt
Filed under: uncultured bacterium
Lineage: Bacteria
Description: partial 16S ribosomal RNA
Rfam family: Bacterial small subunit ribosomal RNA
Source: RNAcentral
GACGAACGCUGGCGGCGUGCUUAACACAUGCAAGUCGAACGGAAAGGCCCUGCUUUUGUGGGGUGCUCGAGUGGCGAACGGGUGAGUAACACGUGAGUAACCUGCCCUUGACUUUGGGAUAACUUCAGGAAACUGGGGCUAAUACCGGAUAGGAGCUCCCGCUGCAUGGUGGGGGUUGGAAAGUUUCGGCGGUUGGGGAUGGACUCGCGCCUUAUCAGCUUGUUGGUGGGGUAGUGGCAUACCAAGGCCUUGACGGGUAGCCGGCCUGAGAGGGUGACCGGCCACGUUGGGCCUGAGAUGCGGCCCAGCCUCCUCCGGGAGGCAGCAGUGGAGAAUAUUGCACAAUGGGCGGAGGCCUGAUGCAGCAACGCCGCGUGCGGGAUGUCGGCCUUCGGGUUGUAAACCGCUUUCGCCUGUGACGAAGCGUGAGUGACGGUAAUGGGUAAAGAAGCACCGGCUAACUACGUG